Molecule: non-coding RNA, 1811 nt
Organism: Paramisgurnus dabryanus
Lineage: Eukaryota; Metazoa; Chordata; Actinopteri; Cypriniformes; Cobitidae
Source: RefSeq, a predicted model, not a curated record
CGCGCUUUUAUUUUGACACGCGCCCAUCCCCCCACAUCUCACGGUCUGACUGGAGUCGAGUUUCACAGAGCAACGCAACAGGAGGAUGACACAACAGUUAUAAGAGCAUUAACAGGUAAACACUGGAAAAUCCUUCCUUCAUCACCUUUAAAGCAUUUUUAAACUUUAAAAAUGUGUUGUUUGUCGUGACUCUUCAUUUUAAUACUGAUUCGGUUACGGUAAUUUGUGUAAAGUUGUAUACGACGUGACAACGCGACAUUGACACAGCACUAUUGCCUCAUUUUAAUAGACUCAUUUUAAUGAGCUGGUUAAUGUUCAUUAAGUACACCACAGUUCUGUAAGUGGAGAAAUAAUUCAUAUUUGUGUGUUUUUCUCUCAGUAAGGACUAACAUUAACUGACUGUCUGUCCUCAACCAAAGUCAUUCAAGACCUGUAAAAGCACAAACGUUUCCCGCGCAAGUUUGAAUCUCUCUCAGUCAGGGGAGAUUGACUGACUGACUGUCUACACGCCACCAAACAGUAAUUUAUACAGAAACCUUUUAAAGUAAGGACUAACAUUAACUGACUGUCUGUCUGUCUGUCUGUUCUCAAGCAAAGUCAUUAAAGACCUGUUAAAGCACAAACGUUUCCCGCGCAAGUUUGAAUCUCUCUCAGUCAGGGGAGAUUGACUGACUGACUGACUGUCUACACGCCACCAAACAGUAAUUUAUACAGAAACCUUUUAAAGUAAGGACUAAGGUUAACUGACUGUCUGUCUGUCUGUCUGUCGGUUCUCAACCAAAGUCAUUAAAGACCUGUUAAAGUAAGGACUAACGUUAACUGACUGUCUGUCUGUCUGCUCUCAACCAAACAGUCAUUCAAGACCUUUCAAAGUUUAGCACAAAAGUUUCCAGCACAAGUUUGGAUCUUUACCAUUGAGGGUGGCUGACUGUUCUCGACCAACCAUCAUUCACACGCAAAAACUUUAAAGAUAAGUAUGAACGUGCCCAGAGCAGUUUUCGAUCUUUACCAUUAAGGAGGCUGACUGACUAUCCUCUACCACCCGUCAUUAACACAACAAAAACUAAAGAAAUGUUACUCCAUAUGGACCUAUUCAUUUACUCAUUAUGCUGUGAGUACACCACAGUUUUAUCAGUGAAAAAAUUUAUAUUUGUGUGUUUUCUCACUGCUUGGCAAGGACAGAUGUGGCCCUGUUAAAAAUGUUUAAAUGUUGUUUGGUUAAGGAACCGCACACUGAUUUUGUUUUAAAAUAUUCCUGUUUGGACAGUCUGUUAAAGUCAAAGGAAUACUUGAUAUAUUUCUAAGUAAAGUGUAAAUGAAAAAAUUAGUUUUUAAUGUUGUGACUGAACACAAUGUUGUGAAUGAUUUGGACUGAACAGCACACUUCUGUUUUAUAUCUGAACCUUUUGUAAAAUAAAUGAUUGUUCAUUAAACUCACUGUGUAUUUUAUCUUUUCUGUUAUCAUUUUUUUAUACUAAUGUUUAAAAUUUACCUUUACUCUAAACAAUUGGCUAAACCAACACAAAUACACUGAGUCAUAUGCACUUAUAAUUUAAAGUUUACAAUAUUUAGAUUGAGAUAUAUGUAUAAGUUUUAAAACCAUGAGUGUACCCUGUCAAAGCCAUUUUUGUACCCUUUUUGAAGGGUCCAUAUUUGUACUGUUAAAUAAAGGUACAAAAUUGUCACUAGAGGUACAAAACUGGUCCCUUAAGGUACAAAUCACAAGGGUACAAUUUUGUACCCUCUGCCAAGGGUACAAAAACUGUACCCUUGAGGGUACAGCCCCAGUGACAAGCCAUUGUACCCCUAAA